UGCAGUCAGGGGGUCGCAAGACAACCGGCAGACGAGAUAGUAAUAAGUAGGUMCSAACCUAGAAGUCAGGAAUAGCUAGUCGAAAGAUUAGGUAAUACUUGAUAGUCCCGCAAGGGUAAAGAUUUAUCGCUUCUAGAUCGGCCUGCUCGGUAUCAGCUAGUUGGUAAGGUAAUGGCUUACCAAGGCAAUGACGCCRAGGGGGGGGUGAGAGCCUGUUCCCCAUCGAUGGAACUGAGAUACGGUCCAUACACCUACGGGKGGCUGCAGUCGAGAAUAUUCGACAAUGGGCGAAAGCCUGAUCGAGCGACSCCGCGUGCAGGAUGAAGUGCUUCGGUAUGUAAACUGCUUUUGUAGACCAGAAAGUUUAUUGAUCGGUCUAARAAUAAGAGGUUGCUAAACUCGUGCCAGCAGCAGCGGUAAUACGAGUGCCUCGAGCGUUAUCCGGAAUCAUUGGGCGUAAAGGGUGUGCAGGUGGUCUUAUUAGUCUUUUGUUAAAUUCUUCGGCUCAACCGGGGACCUGCAAGGGAAACGGUAAGACUUGAGGAUGCGAGAGGUUAACGGAACUCAUAGUGUAGCGGUGAAAUGCGUUGAUAUUAUGGGGAACACCAAAUGCGAAGGCAGUUAACUGGAGCACUCCUGACACUGAAACACGAAAGCGUGGGUAGCGAAUGGGAUUAGAUACCCCAGUAGUCCA
Molecule: ribosomal RNA, 694 nt
Filed under: uncultured bacterium
Lineage: Bacteria
Description: bacterial SSU rRNA
Rfam family: Bacterial small subunit ribosomal RNA
Source: RNAcentral